This 87-nucleotide signal recognition particle RNA is filed under the name Granulicatella balaenopterae. RNAcentral's name for it is "Bacterial small signal recognition particle RNA". It matches the Rfam family "Bacterial small signal recognition particle RNA". Rfam says of the family: The signal recognition particle (SRP) is a universally conserved ribonucleoprotein involved in the co-translational targeting of proteins to membranes. Archaeal SRP consists of a 7S RNA and homologues of the eukaryotic SRP19 and SRP54 proteins. Lineage: Bacteria; Bacillati; Bacillota; Bacilli; Lactobacillales; Carnobacteriaceae. The record is from Rfam by way of RNAcentral.
GCUAUGUGGCAAUAGUGAACUUAUGAAUCGAGUCAGGUCCGGAAGGAAGCAGCUAUAAGUAACGUUCGCUAUGUGCCAUAUAUUUUU